GUAUAGUCCUUUCAUAAUGCCUUCAUGGUGGGGGACUUCUUUGGAAUAGAUCCACGAGCUGCAUCUCAUGUAAUUGGAUUGGAGGGGUUGAGAAUUGGUUCACAAGCCAACACUAGAAGCAAAAGUAGAAGCCUUCGCGUACCCAACACCAACGUACAAGACAGAUGCCGAGGCAAGAAGAAAAGCCCCUGGACCCAGUGCUAUCUAUGUUAGGGGAAGAGUUGAAGGAAAGGGGCAGCUAAUUGAAUUUAUUCUGUCUCCCCCCAUGUCUUAGACAAGGUAAACAUGAUCUGAAAAGUUUCACAAAAAUGAUGUUAGAAAGGUUAAAUUACAAAAACAUCCCUAAAGGGUAUUUUAGUGAUGUCACACAUUUAAAAGUACAAUCAAAGUUCUCAAUAUUUCAAAAUAUUAAAUAAUAUAAAAUCAUGAUAUGGAGCCUUUUGCGAAAUUUGGACAUUGGGAGGUCAAUUUACGAAAAUACCCAUAAAAGGUAUUUUGUAAUUUCACACCUCUCAAGGUGUGAUAUCGGUUUUUAAUGAAUAAAAAAAUCAUUAAAAAAUUUCAAUUAUAAUAUGAAAGUUUCAAGAAAAUUAGAUUUCAAAAAAGUCAAAUUAUGAAAAUACUUCUAAGGGUAUUUUGAUAAUUUUACAUUUUUUGAAGUGCGAAAAUUUUUUAAAACUUUAAAAAUCACAAAUUUUAAUUCCAAGUUGCAUUGAUCCUAAUUGGUUGUGAAUUUUGAAAGUUGAUAUGAUUUCCAUUCAUUUUGAGAUAUUUUGACUAAGUUUGAUUUUGUUUAUCCAAGUUUAAUCAAUUUUGACCACAUUUGACCUUAGGGCAUUUGGAUCAAACUGGUCUAAAUUUUAAUUUUAAAACUUAUCAAAAAUUGGAGAAGUGUUGGAUUUGAACUGGGUUAGAUUUGAAGGGCUUCACAAAUGGUCAAAAUUUGCUCAGAUAAAAUUAAGUGUUUAUAGCUAUCUUUUUUUACAUAUUUUUGAAAAUCAGAAAUAAUGCAAAAACCAAAGACACCGAUUUUGUCCAAGACCAAGGGCUAAAAGGGUUUUGUUGGUGUGUUGUUUGUUUGUUUUGUUUCCAUGUUGGAGGAGGUUUUUUCUAUAAAAAAAAAAAAAAGAUACUCAUAUAGUCUUAGGUAAGUGACUUUAAAAAUCAUUUUUUGAAAAGUGCUCUUAUAAACAUAGCAAGUGACUUUAAAAAUCUCCUUGAAAAGUGCUAUUAUAAAGAUAGGUAAUAAACUUUAAAAUUCUCAUUUUGGAAAGGGCUCAUAUGAAAAUGAGCAACAAACCUUAAAAAUCUCAUUUUGAAAGGGCUCUUAUGAAAAUAAACAGUAAACUUUUAAAAUCUCAUUUUGAAAAAGGCUCUUAUAAUGAUAAGCAACAAACUUUAAAAAUCUCAUUUUGAAAAAGGGCUCCUUUAAAAAUCUCAUUUUGAAAAGGGCUCCUAUAAAGAUAGGCAACAAAUUUUAAAAACCUUAUUUUGAAAAGGCUCUUAUAAAGAUAGGCAACAAACUUUAAAAACUUCAUUUUGAAAAUGGCUUCUAUAAAGAUAAAUUUCAAAAAAUUCCAUUUUGAAAAGGGUUCUUAUAAAGAUAGAUAACAAAUUUUAAAAAUCUUAUUUCGAAAAGGACUUUUAUAAAAGAUAAACAACAAACUUUAAAAUUUUCAUUUUGAAAAGUUUUGAAAGUUUUAUCUUUGAAAAGCUAGGUAGCAUAUGAGGCCUUGAAAAUGAUUUUUUUUUUUAAAGGACUUUUUUUUAGUUUUUUCUUUUGUUUUUUCUUGAGAAGUAUCUUUCUUCAAUUGUAUUUAUUUUCUUUCAAAAAUCAAGCUCAUUCUGCAUGUAAUGUAUGUGAUGAUUGCAAAAAACACAAUGCAUAGGAAAACGAUUUUGUUCACAUCAUGUGCUUGUACUUAUGACAACAAGGUUUUCAUGAUUGCAACUAUCUUCAAAUAAGGUUUUCAUGACUGUAACUAUUUUCAAAUUCUUGGUUCUAAACAAAUCAUCAGCAGUCAAAUCAUACUCAUCUGAUCAAAAUUUUUUUUCAAUUCAAGCCUUUUUUCUUCUUUCUUUUUUCUUUAUAAAUUUUUUUCACUUUGAUCUCUCCAGGAAUUGUUUUAAUGAUUUUGCUAAAAACACUUUCUUUCUUUUUCAUUCAUUAUUGUCAUUCCAUCAUUUGUCUCCAUUCAUUCUUCAUCACUUUUUCAUUUUCAAUUUUCUUCAUUUACUCAUUUACUCAUUCAUAUCCUUCAUUUCCCAUUUUCAUUCUCAUUUUCAUAUUCAUUCAUUCAUCAUUUUAUCAUCAUUUUUUUCAUUAGGCUUAAUGAUCUCAUUUUGGUGCCAGCUAAUCUAAGCUUAAAUAUCCUUAGUGCCAACUAAACUGAGCUUAAAUCUUUAUAGGUGUCAACUAGACUGGGUUUAAUUCCCCUUGCUGCUAGCUAGACUAGGCUUAAUUCUUUUUUGUACCAACUAAAUUAGGCUUAACUCAUUCAUGCCAGCUAAACUAGGCUUCAUUCUCUUUGGUGACAGUUAGUCUGGGUUUAAUUCUUCUCGAUGCCAACUAGUCUGGGCUUAAUUUUUCUCAAUGCUGACUAAACUGGGUUAAUUUCCCUUAAUACUAGUUAGAUUGGGCUUACUUCUCCAUAGAUGCCAGUUAAAUUGUGAUUAAUUUUCCUUGGUGUCAACUAAACUAGGCUUAAUUCUCCUUCAUUUCCAUUUUUAAUUUUAUUUUAAAAAUUUUUUUUGACAUUUACUUAACUUCUUAUCAUAUCUCUUAUUUUCAUUUAUUUUCUUAACAACCCUUUCUCUUUUGCAUAUUCUUUUUCAAUUCUUCAAACUUUUUUGUUAUUUUUGUCUCUAGGUAACCAUUUUUUCUUUUUUCUUAUUUUUCUCCCUUUUCCCAUGGCAUUGUCAUUUCUCUUUUUUUGCUUUCUUUUUUUCUUUUUGUCUCCUUUCCUUUUUCUUUUCAUUGUUUUCUUCUCUUUUUUUUUUCAUUUUUUUUCAAACUCUUUCCCUCCAUCUUUUUCUUGGUAAACUCUUUUUCUCUUGUUUCUUGAACUAGCAGAUUCUUUUCUUUUUACUAUUUUUUUUGUUUUUUUUCUUUAAAUGUUUUUAUUUUUUUUCUUUAAUAUUUACAAAGUUGACAAAUGCAAUUAUGACACAAAUGGUAAUUCACAAGAAAUUAUGUGAAUGCAAAUGUUUUUAUGUAAAUGCAAGAAUCUAUGCCAGAUUUUUUUCAUGAUGCAAACGUUCAAUGUAAAUGUAAGUGACUUUUUAUGAUAUAGAUACCAAUGUUCUUUCCAUGUGGAUGAACUUACAAUGAUUCAAAUAUGAAUUUCUUUUUAUGACAAAUGUAUCUAAAAAUAUGGAUGACAAAUUUUAUUACUAGCAAAUUUCUUU
RNAcentral lists this long non-coding RNA (3408 nucleotides) under Durio zibethinus. RNAcentral's name for it is "long non-coding RNA (DZIB_LNC001485)". Lineage: Eukaryota; Viridiplantae; Streptophyta; Magnoliopsida; Malvales; Malvaceae. The record is from RNAcentral.